UGAGGAAUAUUGGUCAAUGGGCGCAAGCCUGAACCAGCCAUGCCGCGUGCAGGAUGAAGCAUCUAUGGUGUGUAAACUGCUUUUGUACGGGAAGAAACACCUCUACGUGUAGAGGCUUGACGGUACCGUAAGAAUAAGGAUCGGCUAACUCCGUGCCAGCAGCCGCGGUAAUACGGAGGAUCCAAGCGUUAUCCGGAAUCAUUGGGUUUAAAGGGUCCGUAGGCGGUUUUGUAAGUCAGUGGUGAAAUCCGGCAGCUUAACUGUCGAACUGCCAUUGAUACUGCAGGACUUGAAUUACUGUGAAGUAACUAGAAUAUGUAGUGUAGCGGUGAAAUGCUUAGAUAUUACAUGGAAUACCAAUUGCGAAGGCAGGUUACUAACAUUAUAUUGACGCUGAUGGACGAAAGCGUGGGUAGCGAACA
This 422-nucleotide ribosomal RNA is filed under the name uncultured Flavobacterium sp. RNAcentral describes it as "bacterial SSU rRNA". It matches the Rfam family "Bacterial small subunit ribosomal RNA", at positions 355 to 774 of the family's 1533-position model. Lineage: Bacteria; Pseudomonadati; Bacteroidota; Flavobacteriia; Flavobacteriales; Flavobacteriaceae. The record is from RNAcentral.